AGAAGUUGGAAGACAUAACAAGAUGUCGGUCAAUGGCGCGGAAAUUAACGGCAGCUUGGAAAGAUCACAUUACGGUUGCGGCGGACUUCUUGUCAGCAAACGUAAGGAAACCUGAUGAAUAUAUCGAGGCUUAUGUCGCUUUAUUAAAUGAAAUGGAAUCAACUGGAG
Molecule: long non-coding RNA, 168 nt
Organism: Vanessa atalanta (red admiral)
Lineage: Eukaryota; Metazoa; Arthropoda; Insecta; Lepidoptera; Nymphalidae
Exons: 3
Source: RefSeq, a predicted model, not a curated record